UAUUUUCCUUUUUUGCCAGCAGCCGCGGUAAUACGUAGGGGGCAAGCGUUAUCCGGAUUUACUGGGUGUAAAGGGAGCGUAGACGGACUGGCAAGUCUGAUGUGAAAGGCGGGGGCUCAACCCCUGGACUGCAUUGGAAACUGUUAGUCUUGAGUGCCGGAGAGGUAAGCGGAAUUCCUAGUGUAGCGGUGAAAUGCGUAGAUAUUAGGAGGAACACCAGUGGCGAAGGCGGCUUACUGGACGGUAACUGACGUUGAGGCUCGAAAGCGUGGGGAGCAAACAGG
This 284-nucleotide ribosomal RNA is filed under the name Blautia obeum. RNAcentral's name for it is "partial 16S ribosomal RNA". It matches the Rfam family "Bacterial small subunit ribosomal RNA", at positions 494 to 776 of the family's 1533-position model. The record is from RNAcentral. Lineage: Bacteria; Bacillati; Bacillota; Clostridia; Lachnospirales; Lachnospiraceae.